Scylla paramamosain (green mud crab) is the source of this 4064-nucleotide long non-coding RNA. RefSeq lists it as uncharacterized. The record is from RefSeq and is a predicted model, not a curated record. NCBI's taxonomy places the organism in Eukaryota, Metazoa, Arthropoda, Malacostraca, Decapoda, Portunidae. The transcript is spliced from 5 exons.
GGCCUGAGAUUUAUUUUUACACGCUUAUAAUUCUUUAUAUUUAAUUUUCUAUUAGUUUAGUAUAAUAUAAAAGAAGUUGGUGCUUGUUAUUGAAAGCUAAGUGUGUUGUGGAUAGGUUUGCCUGCGUACUGUGCGGAGCAGGCUGGGACGGACGACACAACCAGACGUCAGACACAAGGCACUAGGUUAAAAGGGUGCCAUAAACUGGUGCUUUAUUUAACGUAUUUUCGCAGAACAAGACAGUGACAGGGGCCGUGGUGGGUGCCUGCGUGUGCUGGUGCAAGCUUGGUGCCUGCCGGGAGGUGCCUGCAGUGCCACAAGGGAUAAUAUUGGUAAGAAACCGGCCCACCACUUGUCCAGCCAGCUAAUUUGCACAGUGUGAUGUAACAGGCGGUAACUGUGAUAGUGUUGUUACGUGUCACCCACAACAACAACAACACAGGGCUGUCAGAUACAAAUGUAGAGGGACGAAAUAGGGAAGCAGGAAGACCACCACCACCACCACCAUCACCACCAGCAGUGUGGAAGAAAGUUUAGGCAAGCGAAGAAAGUUGGAAAAUUAAUAAUUAAACGCUUGCUGUCUUUUAUUAUCUUGAGUAUAAAAUGGUUAUAUGACAAUCUCUCUCUCUCUCUCUCUCUCUCUCUCUCUCUCUCUCUCUCUCUCUCUCUCUCUCUCUCUCUCUCUCUCUCUCUCUCUCUCUCUCUCUCUCUCUCUCUCUCUCAGCUUUGUAUUAGUUACCCGUUGACAGAAGUGACAGCCGCGUUUUCUCUUGUCAGAUGUAAACAAAGCGGUAGUUUCCUUCCAGCUGGUGAUAAAACUCUUUCUCGCUCUUCCUCACUCUCCCACGUCACGGAAGCAGUGUGUGUGUGUGUGUGUGUGUGUGUGUGUGUGUGAAGAAGAAAAUGUUAUAUUAUAUCUACGUGUUUAAAAGUUUCCUUCAUUUAAGUCCAAAGAGGCUGGCUGGCUGAUGCUAAGGAAGGAAGAAAGGGGUGGUGUUUAGGGGUCUGGGAUGGAAAGCGAGUGAUGUGUUUUGUAGCCUUCAGAUAAAAAAUAUUAACAAAGUUUACACAGUGGGAAAAUUUUGGUGGUGAGAGAGAAAAUGACUAAAAUAUUACCUCAAAUUUAACCAAACGUGGUGGAGCUUCACACUCCUCAGCUGACCCUAAUCAAACCAAGCCUAACCCAAAGAAGCCUACCCUAACUUCUGUCUGGUGCUUCCUCCUCCCCAAGACUGGCUAUCUCGUGUCUUAAUCCCAAGCUGGCCUAACCAAACUUUACCUAACCUAACCUAAGCAAUUCUAACCUAGCCAAACCUUACCUAAGCAAGCCUAACCUAGCCAAGCCUUACCUAACCUAACCUAACCUAACCUAGCCAAACCUUACCUAAGCAAGCCUAACCUAGCCAAGCCUUACCUAACCUAACCUAACCUAAAGAAACCUAGCCAAACCUAACAUAACCUAGCCUAACCAAACCUAAUCUAACCUACAUCCUCUUCCCACGGCCCCACUUAACCAAACCUAAUGUAACUUUCAGAGCAACGGCAACCCUCCGAUCCGGCAAGCAAGUUGGCGGCAGCGAUGGCGGUGGCGGCGGCAGUGGUGGUGAGGUGGACGGCAGGGACAGAGGGGCAGUACAGGCUGCGGACAUCAAGGAGAAGGUGAGCAGGGUGUUGUGUUGGUGUGUGUUGCUAAGCUGAGAUGCAAUAUUUGUCACUCAACACUCGUGCAACACUGCCUCCAUGCACAAGUGUGUCGGGAAAAUGAUUUAAAGUCGUAAAAAUGUUCUUGUUUUACUUUAUUUAUUUAUUUAUUGAUUUUGUUUUAUUUUUUGUAUAUAUAGGAGGGACACUGGUCAAAGGGAACUAAGUACAAUAAGAAAAAAAUACUGAGAAAAAAUAAAAGAUAAAAAAGACCUCACUUAACCUAACCUAACCUAACAUAAGCUAACUUAACCUAACAUAACUUAGCCUAACCUCUUUUAACCUAACAUAACUUAACCUAACUUAACUUAACCUAACCUAACCUAACUUAACCUAACCUCUUUUAACCUAACCUCUUUUAACCUAACCUAACCUAACUUAACUUAACCUAACCUAACUUAACCUAACCUCACUUAACCUCACUUAACCUAACCUAACGUAACUUAACCUAACCUAACCUAACCUCACUUAACCUAACCUCACUUAACCUAACAUAACCUAACCUCACUUAACCUAACGUAACCUAACCUAACCUAACACCCACAGAGGAACGCACGGACAAGCAAGGUGUUAUUCGGCAGUCUGAUCCUGGACCUGCUCGGCUUGAAGGUGGUGCUGCCCGUGUCUCCUGCUCUCCUCGACUGUUACUCCAAGCACAACACCAGCGGCUUGUAUUCCUCUCAGCUCUCCUGUGUGACUUAUUACCAGCAUAUCAUCGGUUUCGCUGCGAGGUUCCAUUCUGUCUUGUUUGGUAAUUGAGUGGGUUUGUUGUGUUUUGUAUUGGUUUAUAUAUUUUUAGCUUGUUUUUAUUAUUAUUUUUUUCAAUUUUUUUAUCCUAUUAUCUAUUUAUUUAUUUUUUGUUUGUUUGUUUGUUUACAGGGUGUGUGUGUGUUUGUUUGUGUUCCUGCUGUUCAAUAUUGCAGCUUGUUUUCUUUAUUAUUGUUAUUUUGUGUUUUAUUCUAUUUCAGUGUUCUGAGGGAGUCUUCAGGUGUUUUUGGGGUGUUUUGGGGUGUUUUUGGAGUGUUUUGGGGUGUUUUUGGUGUGUUGUGAAGUGUUUUGAUGUGUUUUGGGGUGGUUAAGGGGUGUUUUGAAGUGGUUUGUGGUGUUGUGGAGGUGUUUUGGGAUUUUUGGUGUGUUUUAAAGUGUUUUGGGAUGUUUUUGGAAUGUUUUGAUGUGUUUUGAGAUGUUUAGGAGUAUUUUUGGAGUAUUUUGGUGUGUUUUUGGAGUGUUUUGGGAUGUGUUUGUAGUGUUUUGGGGUGUUUUGGGGUAUUUUGAAGGUGUUUUGGUGUGUUUUUGGAGUGUUUUGGGGUAUUUUGGGAUGUUUUGGUGUGUUUUGGGUUAUUUUGAGAGUGUUUUGGUGUGUUUUUGGAGUGUUUCUGGGUGUUUUGGAGUAUUUUGAGGGUGUUUAAAGGUGUUGUGGUAGUUUAAAAUAUAUUGUUAGUUUACUUUUUUUUAACUUUUUAUUUUCUUAUGCAUUAUUUUAUUUCUUAUUUAUAUUGUGGUGUGUUGUCGGUGUGUCCUAACCUAACCUAACCAGCCUACCCUCUCCUAACCUCCCCUCAACCCACAGGCACUGAUUGGCGUGACAUUCAGCAUAGGCUUCACCGUCGGGCACACUGUGGGGGCUGCGUUCUCCCGCUGGGGAAGUACUGGGUGGUUCGCGGCCUCGGCUGUCUACGCACGCACUCUCACUGUGGCUAACAUAAUAUUCUUUGCUGUCUUCUUCCAGGAAUCGCUGCCUGAGGGCAGAAGGAGGAGGGACAUCGGUGCCAGUUUGACCGAGGCUUGGGAGGUGAUCAAUCCUAGGGCUCUGUUCUCCGUCAGCUGUGUCAAGGGCCUGGGCAGAGAAGCCUGGAGUUAACGCUGAUCUUCGCGACCCACCACAAGCAUAGUUACGACUCGUUGGCGCAGGACCGCAAGUUUUCCUUCCUGGGCCUGGUCAUGGCAAUUACACAGAGAGGGUUUAUGCGAAGUGUUAAGACUGGAACUGAAAAAGCACCUGCCAAUUAGGCACACACCUACAUUGUGAUGCAGCUCCUUGGAGGUGGAGAGCUGGCUGCCUCAGAGGAUCAGGAAACACGAGAGGUUCACAGAGGCUCGCCUCGGGCUUCGGUCGUCGUGAGGAACCUGGUGUCAGCAGUUCACUACGUGCACAGGAAAAGCAUCAGUGUUCACGGAGACCUAAAGCCAGACAGGGGUGAAAAGGGUUGGUGUUGAGGAUAGACAGAAAAGAAAAGAAAGGAAAGGUAAAAAAAGGAAGUUUUUUUGCAUUGAUUUUCCAUCUGCUUAUUUUAAAGAAUUUAUUGCAUGGAAUAUUAUUGAUCUCCAUCAUUUGUAUGGCCUUUAUAAUAAAAAGUAUGAAU